Molecule: ribosomal RNA, 465 nt
Filed under: Vreelandella stevensii
Lineage: Bacteria; Pseudomonadati; Pseudomonadota; Gammaproteobacteria; Oceanospirillales; Halomonadaceae
Description: partial 16S ribosomal RNA
Rfam family: Bacterial small subunit ribosomal RNA
Source: RNAcentral
CCUACGGGGGGCUGCAGUGGGGAAUAUUGGACAAUGGGGGGAACCCUGAUCCAGCCAUGCCGCGUGUGUGAAGAAGGCCCUCGGUUUGUAAAGCACUUUCAGUGAGGAAGAACGCCUGGUGGUUAAUACCCAUCAGGAAAGACAUCACUCACAGAAGAAGCACCGGCUAACUCCGUGCCAGCAGCCGCGGUAAUACGGAGGGUGCGAGCGUUAAUCGGAAUUACUGGGCGUAAAGCGCGCGUAGGUGGCUUGAUAAGCCGGUUGUGAAAGCCCCGGGCUCAACCUGGGAACGGCAUCCGGAACUGUCAAGCUAGGGUGCAGGAGAGGAAGGUAGAAUUCCCGGUGUAGCGGUGAAAUGCGUAGAGAUCGGGAGGAAUACCAGUGGCGAAGGCGGCCUUCUGGACUGACACUGACACUGAGGUGCGAAAGCGUGGGUAGCAAACAGGAUUAGAUACCCUUGUAGUC